GCAGCCGCGGUAAUACGUAUGGAGCAAGCGUUAUCCGGAUUUACUGGGUGUAAAGGGAGCGUAGACGGACUUGCAAGUCUGAUGUGAAAGCCUGGGGCUCAACCCCGGAACUGCAUUGGAAACUGUAGGUCUUGAGUGCCGGAGAGGUAAGCGGAAUUCCUAGUGUAGCGGUGAAAUGCGUAGAUAUUAGGAGGAACACCAGUGGCGAAGGCGGCUUACUGGACGGUAACUGACGUUGAGGCUCGAAAGCGUGGGGAGCAAACAGGAUUAGAUACCCC
This 278-nucleotide ribosomal RNA is filed under the name uncultured bacterium. Its description in RNAcentral is "partial 16S ribosomal RNA". It matches the Rfam family "Bacterial small subunit ribosomal RNA", at positions 511 to 788 of the family's 1533-position model. The record is from RNAcentral.